UACGAAGGGUGCAAGCGUUAGUCGGAAUUACUGGGCGUAAAGCGUGCGUAGGUGGUUUCUUAAGUCCGUUGUGAAAGCCCUGGGCUCAACCUGGGAACGGCAGUGGAUACUGAGAGGCUAGGGUGUGUCAGAGGAUGGUGGAAUUCCCGGUGUAGCGGUGAAAUGCGUAGAGAUCGGGAGGAACACCAGUGGCGAAGGCGGCUUUCGAGGCGCUAACUGACGCUGAGGCGCGAAAGCGUGGGGAGCGAACCGG
This 253-nucleotide ribosomal RNA is filed under the name uncultured bacterium. RNAcentral's name for it is "partial 16S ribosomal RNA". It matches the Rfam family "Bacterial small subunit ribosomal RNA", at positions 524 to 776 of the family's 1533-position model. The record is from RNAcentral.